UGACCUCGAAUCAGGUAGG
This 19-nucleotide ribosomal RNA is filed under the name Fusarium solani. RNAcentral describes it as "partial 28S ribosomal RNA". RNAcentral also lists the same sequence under 1 other name. Lineage: Eukaryota; Fungi; Ascomycota; Sordariomycetes; Hypocreales; Nectriaceae. The record is from RNAcentral.